CCUUUGUACACACCGCCCGUCGCUACUACCGAUUGAAUGGCUCAGUGAGGCCUUGGGACUGGCUCAGAGAGGUCGGCAACGACCACUCAGAGCCGGAAAGUUAUCCAAACUCGGUCAUUUAGAGG
This 125-nucleotide ribosomal RNA is filed under the name Sordariomycetes sp. RNAcentral's name for it is "partial small subunit ribosomal RNA". It matches the Rfam family "Eukaryotic small subunit ribosomal RNA", at positions 1657 to 1779 of the family's 1831-position model. Lineage: Eukaryota; Fungi; Ascomycota; Sordariomycetes. The record is from RNAcentral.